RNAcentral lists this unclassified non-coding RNA (200 nucleotides) under fungal sp. RNAcentral's name for it is "partial internal transcribed spacer 2". Lineage: Eukaryota; Fungi. The record is from RNAcentral.
UUAAGUUCAGCGGGUAUCCCUACCUGAUCCGAGGUCAAACUAGAAGGUGGGGUUGGUUCUGGGGGGUGCCCCGGGUGGCUCGAGCGAGAGGUGUACUACGCUGAGGCCCGGGGGACACUGCCACUGCUUUUGGGCCGGGCCCCGGGGGGCGUCGGCCAAGACCUCGCGGGGCGAGAGGGGUGUAAUGACGCUCGAACAGG